CUGUCGAAUUUCAGGACACAUGCGAGCACCUACCACGGAGGAUCCUAAUUGGCUUUCAACAAGGUCCUUAACAAUCCGCUUACUUCUCCUGAUCUGUUUCUGUGCCUACUAUGCUCCCCACGGUCCUCGUCCGCCAGUGCUGGCAAUCAGCGCGUAGGAUCCCUUCCUUUUAGACCUAUACUCUUCUCACAACGCGAACCUCCCCUCCCAACCUCCUACCCGCGGAGCCACGAAUAUGACAUUCGUCUGGUUUGCUGAUUCAUCCCGCGUCUGCAGUAACUACCCCAUCUCCACAGCUGGCGGCCAUUCGUCUUGAACUCCCCCAGGAGCAAUUCCACGAUUUACUCACGACUGGCCCUCGCGAAAGCAUUUACCAAGGAUGUUUACAGUAAUCUACAACGAAAUUAGGGAGAUCGCCCACAAUCUCAUACCCUCAUAGACACUGCCAAAAACUAUGCAGACCGUGUAUACGUAUACUAUCUUGUAUGACUCCCCGGGUCCGUGGGAGAGAUAGAUAUGCUUCAUGUAUGGUGUGACAAGCUCGCCGCUCAUAUAGAUUUUAUGACGAAACGUGCCUACUAGAUUUUAACUCCAACGUAUCAUUCUCAACACUUUAAGUUAACGAUGGCGCGUCCUGUGCGGUUCACGGAUGAGAGCCGAUCUAAAUUCGUUCAUUUAGUUCCUGUUCUUUCUUAUAGCCGGACGAUUUGCAUGGUAAUUCAAGAAUUACGAUACUUAAUCUGAGAUUCCUUGAUAACUUAUUAUAGCGUACUUGAGAUCUAAGAAGCAUGUUUAUUCUAUUUUACAUAAUAA
Molecule: ribosomal RNA, 813 nt
Filed under: uncultured amoeba
Lineage: Eukaryota
Description: partial small subunit ribosomal RNA
Source: RNAcentral